Molecule: unclassified non-coding RNA, 363 nt
Filed under: soil metagenome
Description: partial contains 5.8S ribosomal RNA, internal transcribed spacer 2, and large subunit ribosomal RNA
Rfam family: 5.8S ribosomal RNA (bases 1-120)
Source: RNAcentral
GAUGAAGAACGUAGCGAAAUGCGAUAAGUAGUGUGAAUUGCAGAAUUUAGUGAAUCAUCGAAUCUUUGAACGCACAUUGCGCCCGCCAGUACUCUGGCGGGCAUGCCUGUUCGAGCGUCAUUUCAACCCUCAAGCCCUGCUUGGUGUUGGGGACCGGCUCCCGGGGGCCCGCCUCGCGCGGGCGCCCCUGCCGCCCCCUAAAUCGAUCGGCGGCCACGACGCGGCCCCCCCUGCGCAGUAACAUACCACCUCGCAGGCGGGAGCACGCCGCGGCCACUGCCGUAAAACGCCCAACUUCUCAAGAGUUGACCUCGAAUCAGGUAGGAAUACCCGCUGAACUUAAGCAUAUCAAUAAGCGGAGGA